GUUACAUGUUGGUGUGAGACUGUGCUGUGUGACUGAGACACCACAGUUCAGUCCUACCUCCUCAGAUGGCGGUGUCUGAUGGCAGGAUAUGCCCUUAUGAGAACAUACAUAUUUUCACAGAAUCUUCAGUUUCCUGUCAGUAAGACAUGUUAGGUAUGUUUUAAUGACAACUCCAGACUAGAGGAGGCUGGUGCUAAGUAUUUUGCAGCUAUGUAGAUAAUGCCAACAAAACAAAACAAAAAAACAAACAAACAAACAAAAAAACAAACCCAGAAGCUGAAUGUCAAGUUAGAUGUAGAUGUAAUUGGGCCAAGUAUUAACUGAAGAAAGUGGGUAUAGCAGCAGGCCUUUGAAUACUAGAGUAGGCUUGGCUUUUACCAUGAAAAAAUUUCAUUUAGACUCACAGCUAAAAAUGUCACUGCUGUGUGUGUACUCACUUCAGCUCAGAAAAUGUGGAAAAUAUGAUCUUCCAAAAUUCCCUUGUGUUUUUUAACCACACAGAAUCCUGGAACCCUCAGAGGUGAUGUGGAUACACAGAACAAUGCAAAUUUUAUGUAGUCACACAAAGUACAUGACCAAAAUGCUUUCCGAAUAUAAAUAAUACAGAUACAGAUGUCCCCCUUUGCUAAGAUGUAAGAAAUCACAAAGUGUAGUUCUAAAAUGCAAUGGCUAAAAGCUGUGUUUUCAAUUUAAAGUGAGAGCUGGGAGCAUGUGAAGAAUAAAUGAAAUGGUGAGAUUAAGCAAGACUGUGGGAUAAAUACUCUGGUUCAGAUAUAAAGGCUUUAGUGACAAUGUCAGAUGCCUGAGGGUGAGAGUGAAGGACAGAAAAGAUCAGGGUUAUAAAUAGUUUACAUAAAUUGAAGAAAUAGGUCUAAGAAUUCCAGAAGAGUAUAAGGAUGAAAUAGCAAAGAGUACAAAAAAGCCAGUGAGUAGAACAGAUGGGGAACUGAGAUUUGAGGACUGAAACAGCCAAGAUAAUAAGCAACCAACAACCACAAAGUUGGAGAAGAAAUCAUUGAGGGCAGGGAAGACAAUUGGAGCUGGAGGCUUGAAAGGCAGGAGCAAGACAGAAGAAAAUGGAAGAGAGAUGUUUUGAAGUAUAGUGAAAUCACGCAGCGCAACAUUUACUAUUUGAAAACUAAAGAUGAGUACAGGCCAAAGUCAUGAGUAUUGCUUUGAAGUGCCCAAAUGUUAGAAAAGACCAGCAAGUUUCAGAAUAAGCUCAUAUCUGACCUGAUUACUCGAAACCAAUGCUGUCUUUAUAAAAUAGGAAAAACAAAAUUGCACUUUGAAGCAAUCCUGAACUCAGUGUGCUUUGGCCCAAAUAUUGAUGAUGUAAGAAUUCUCCUUUUAAAAAAAAAUAAAGAAUUGUACCUUCAGCAGCUUUACAAACGCAGCUGUUGGGCAUAGGCUUCAAUUAUAUGUAAGUCAGUAUAUUGGUACCAGCUUGUGAAAAGAUCGUUAUAGGAUUCCUUUUUUUCCUUUUUUCCCUUCAAGGUCUUUUAGUUAACAGGAAACCCAAGUGAACUGGUACUUCCAUCUCAGAUUGAAAUUAGCUGAAUAAAAGUUUUCUUUCCAAGAUUUCCUGGCAUGAUGGAAGAGAAAAAUCUUGCAAUCUCUGAAUCUUACGUAAGUUAAACAUUUUGGAUCUAAAGUAGCAGGAGACACCUAGUAUUCCUACAAAAUUAAUGGAGGAGAUUUUGGAGAUCUUCUGGUGAUCCAGUUUUUGUCCAAAGAAAUUGUAGCUCUGGUAAAUAUGAAUAGAUAAUUUCAAAAUACAUUUUCUGUACUUUUCCCUCAUCUUUCACCCAAUUCCAAGUGGUGUCUUAAUUAAACGUGAAGUGAUAUCUAAGCUAGGUCAUUACUUCUCCGCUAGUGAAAGCAGAUUAGAGUAGAAAUUGACAAAAACUUCUACAUGUCUAAGGAAUUUAAAUAGCUGUGUAAAAAAUGGGGUGUUUUUGAAUAACAUUGAGUUAUUCAACUAGAUGUUGAAGUUUUCAGCUAGCUUUCAAAAUACCCAGUCUUGGUGUGUAAGCUCUGCAUCAAGCAUGCAUCUAUUUUAGCACAUAGAUUCAGCCACACUAGGGAAAAAGGCUAUUUUUAAGACAAUGAAAUAUUUCAUCUUUUACUUGGAACAUACACUUGGUUGAUGUUAUAUGUUAACAUUUCUACAUUUACUUACUUUAACUGAACUUAUUCCUUUUUGGUCAGGGAAUAAGAAGGAAAAUAAAGUAGUACCAUAAACCAGCUACAUAAAAAGUUUUAAAAGCACAGGAAGUGAAAUGCAAACAAACCAAUUUGUUUCCACCUUAACUUUUUUUUAUUCUAUUUCAUUUUAUCAAUUCAGGUUGUUUUGCUUUCUGACAGGAAAAAUAUCUUACUUUUUUCUUCUGCUCUAAAUCAUUUUAACAUCACUGGGAAACUCUUAUAUCUUACUUCAGCCUGACGAAAAUAUUUGCAGAUGUGCAGAAACAUGCU
Molecule: long non-coding RNA, 2478 nt
Filed under: Gallus gallus (chicken)
Lineage: Eukaryota; Metazoa; Chordata; Aves; Galliformes; Phasianidae
Description: lncRNA (ENSGALG00010008765.1)
Source: RNAcentral